AACCUUUACAAUGCACGAAAGUGUGAUAAGGGAAUCCUAAGUGCUUUGCUUUUUGCAAGGCUUUUUUCAAGAGUAAAUAUCUUGGAGAAUAAGUGGUGGGAAGACUGGUGCCAGCAGCCGCGGUAAUACCAGCGCCACGAGUGGUGAUCAUUUUUAUUGGGCCUAAAGCGUUCGUAGCCGGUCUGAUAAAUCUUCUGUGAAAUUGUCAAGCUUAACUUGACAGCGUGCAAAAGACACUAUCAGACUUGGAACCGGGAGGAGUCAGAGGUAUUCUUUGGGGAGCGGUAAAA
RNAcentral lists this ribosomal RNA (290 nucleotides) under uncultured archaeon. Its description in RNAcentral is "partial 16S ribosomal RNA". It matches the Rfam family "Archaeal small subunit ribosomal RNA", at positions 345 to 637 of the family's 1478-position model. The record is from RNAcentral.